This 670-nucleotide ribosomal RNA is filed under the name uncultured Actinomycetes bacterium. RNAcentral describes it as "bacterial SSU rRNA". It matches the Rfam family "Bacterial small subunit ribosomal RNA", at positions 58 to 740 of the family's 1533-position model. The record is from RNAcentral. Lineage: Bacteria; Bacillati; Actinomycetota; Actinomycetes.
CAAGUCGAACGGUUAAAGCACCUUUUAGGUGUGUAUAAGGUGGCGAACGGCUGAGUAACACGUGGGCAACCUGCCCUCCUCUUGGGGAUAGCCUCGGGAAACCGAGGAUAAUACCCGAUACUUCAAUGUGGCCGCAUGACGACAUUGAGAAAGCUUUUGCGGAGAAGGAUGGGCCCGCGGCCUGUUAGCUUGUUGGUGGGGUAGAGGCCUACCAAGGCAAUGAUGGGUAGCUGGGUUGAGAGACCGACCAGCCAGAUUGGGACUGAGACACGGCCCAGACUCCUACGGGAGGCAGCAGUGGGGAAUCUUGCACAAUGGGCGAAAGCCUGAUGCAGCGACGCCGCGUGCGGGACGAAGGCCUUCGGGUUGUAAACCGCUUUCAGCAGGGACGAGGCGAAAGUGACGGUACCUGCAGAAGAAGCCCCGGCUAACUACGUGCCAGCAGCCGCGGUAAUACGUAGGGGGCAAGCGUUAUCCGGAUUCAUUGGGCGUAAAGCGCUCGUAGGCGGUCUGUUAGGUCGGGAGUUAAAUCCGGAGGCUCAACCUCCGCCCGCUCCCGAUACCGGCAGACUUGAGUUUGGUAGGGGAAGGUGGAAUUCCUAGUGUAGCGGUGGAAUGCGCAGAUAUUAGGAAGAACACCAGUGGCGAAGGCGGCCUUCUGGGCCAUAAC